CGGGAUUGGUCAAAGAUUGAAAGAAAUAUCUUAUGUGUCUUCGGCUUCGACACUACGCAUAGGAAGCCGUUGCUGAUAAUCCAAUCUUUGAAAAGGUUCAUGUGUUGUGGCGUAUGAAAUGUUGAACGCCAAGACGAUCAGGUGGAUCUAUC
Triticum dicoccoides is the source of this 152-nucleotide long non-coding RNA. RefSeq lists it as uncharacterized. Lineage: Eukaryota; Viridiplantae; Streptophyta; Magnoliopsida; Poales; Poaceae. The transcript is spliced from 2 exons. The record is from RefSeq and is a predicted model, not a curated record.